GGCUCGUUGGUCUAUGGGUAUGAUUCUUGCUUUGGGUGCGAGAGGUCCUGGGUUCAAAUCCCAGACGAGCCC
Molecule: transfer RNA, 72 nt
Filed under: Danionella translucida
Lineage: Eukaryota; Metazoa; Chordata; Actinopteri; Cypriniformes; Danionidae
Also listed under: 1 other name
Rfam family: tRNA
About the family: Transfer RNA (tRNA) molecules are approximately 80 nucleotides in length.
Source: Rfam by way of RNAcentral